Transfer RNA from Carnobacterium maltaromaticum LMA28, 74 nucleotides. It matches the Rfam family "tRNA". Rfam says of the family: Transfer RNA (tRNA) molecules are approximately 80 nucleotides in length. Their secondary structure includes four short double-helical elements and three loops (D, anti-codon, and T loops). Further hydrogen bonds mediate the characteristic L-shaped molecular structure. tRNAs have two regions of fundamental functional importance: the anti-codon, which is responsible for specific mRNA codon recognition, and the 3' end, to which the tRNAs corresponding amino acid is attached (by aminoacyl-tRNA synthetases). tRNAs cope with the degeneracy of the genetic code in two manners: having more than one tRNA (with a specific anti-codon) for a particular amino acid; and 'wobble' base-pairing, i.e. permitting non-standard base-pairing at the 3rd anti-codon position. Lineage: Bacteria; Bacillati; Bacillota; Bacilli; Lactobacillales; Carnobacteriaceae. The record is from Rfam.
GCACCCAUAGCUCAAUUGGAUAGAGUACUUGACUACGAAUCAAGCGGUUAGAGGUUCGACUCCUCUUGGGUGCA